CAGCCGCCACGGUAAUACGAAGGGUGCAAGCGUUACUCGGAAUUACUGGGCGUAAAGCGUGCGUAGGUGGUGGUUUAAGUCAGUUGUGAAAGCCCUGGGCUCAACCUGGGAAUUGCAGUGGAUACUGGGUCACUAGAGUGUGGUAGAGGAUAGUGGAAUUUCCGGUGUAGCAGUGAAACGCGUAGAGAUCGGAAGGAACAUCUGUGGCGAAGGCGACUAUCUGGGCCAACACUGACACUGAGGCGCGAAAGCGUGGGUAGCAAACAGGAUUAGAUACCCCAGUAGUCCCUGUCUCUUAUAC
This 301-nucleotide ribosomal RNA is filed under the name uncultured bacterium. Its description in RNAcentral is "partial 16S ribosomal RNA". It matches the Rfam family "Bacterial small subunit ribosomal RNA", at positions 509 to 807 of the family's 1533-position model. The record is from RNAcentral.